Long non-coding RNA from Gossypium raimondii (Peruvian cotton), 446 nucleotides. RefSeq lists it as uncharacterized. The transcript has 2 exons. The record is from RefSeq and is a predicted model, not a curated record. Lineage: Eukaryota; Viridiplantae; Streptophyta; Magnoliopsida; Malvales; Malvaceae.
CUCUAUAAGCCCAAUUUUAAAACCCUAAAACACCACCCUCUGCCAUUUCAGAUGCACCGCAGCUCUCCUCCCUCUCUGCCGCUCCACAUCCCUCUCAUUCCGACGACGGAAUGAAGAGAUCCCCCAACGCCGCUCGAGACGGUGGAGGAGAACGUGGAAAAGGGCAUUGUGAGGGCUGCUGAACGUGCGAGCAACGACGUGGGCGGUGGGGCGGUUGCGGCGCUAGGUUUGCUGCUAGGGUUUCUGCGUCUUGGGCUGUAAUUGGAUUAACUAUUGGGGCUUGUAGUUUGGAAUAUGGACAUUAUUUAAAUUUGUUUUGUUUUCUGCUUAUGCGGGCCCGGGCCCAAAAUUGGAUAUUACAAUUAAGAUGCUCACUUGGUAGUGAUGCUACAAAGAAAAUGAUAUUUUAAUGAAUUUGAAUUCAUCAGAAGAAUUUUGACAGUAAA